GGCGGUGUUUGGCACCUCGAUGUCGGCUCAUCACAUCCUGGGGCUGUAGCCGGUCCCAAGGGUAUGGCUGUUCGCCAUUUAAAGUGGUACGCGAGCUGGGUUCAGAACGUCGUGAGACAGUUCGGUCCCUAUCUGUCGUGGGCGUUGGAUGUUUGAGAGGGGCUGCUCCUAGUACGAGAGGACCGGAGUGGACGAACCCCUGGUGUUCCGGUUGUCACGCCAGUGGCACUGCCGGGUAGCUAUGUUCGGAAGCGAUAACCGCUGAAAGCAUCUAAGCGGGAAGCGCGCCUCAAGAUGAGACAUCCCGGAGCGCAAGCUCCCUGAAGGAACCAUCAAGACUAGGUGGUUGAUAGGUCGGGUGUGUAUCGCCGCAAGGCCGAGCUAACCGAUACUAAUGAUCCGUGCGGCUUGAUCAU
Molecule: ribosomal RNA, 416 nt
Filed under: Lysobacteraceae bacterium
Lineage: Bacteria; Pseudomonadati; Pseudomonadota; Gammaproteobacteria; Lysobacterales; Lysobacteraceae
Description: partial 23S ribosomal RNA
Rfam family: Bacterial large subunit ribosomal RNA
Source: RNAcentral